GAUGAACGCUGGCGGCGUGCCUAACACAUGCAAGUCGAGCGAACCCUUCGGGGUGAGCGGCGGACGGGUGAGUAACGCGUGGGUAACCUGCCCUAUACACACGGAUAACGUACCGAAAGGUACGCUAAUACGGGGUAAUAUUGUUAGAUGGCAUCAUCUAACAAUCAAAGCUCCGGCGGUAUAGGAUGGACCCGCGUCUGAUUAGCUAGUUGGUGAGGUAAUGGCUUACCAAGGCGACGAUCAGUAGCCGACCUGAGAGGGUGAUCGGCCACACAGGAACUGAGACACGGUCCAGACUCCUACGGGAGGGAGCAGUGGGGAAUAUUGCACAAUGGGCGAAAGCCUGACGCAGCAACGCCGCGUGAGCGAUGAAGGUCUUCGGAUCGUAAAGCUCUGUCCUCAAGGAAGAUAAUGACGGUACUUGAGGAGGAAGCCCCGGCUAACUACGUGCCAGCCGCCGCGGUAA
RNAcentral lists this ribosomal RNA (466 nucleotides) under uncultured bacterium. RNAcentral describes it as "partial 16S ribosomal RNA". It matches the Rfam family "Bacterial small subunit ribosomal RNA", at positions 28 to 523 of the family's 1533-position model. The record is from RNAcentral.